RNAcentral lists this ribosomal RNA (600 nucleotides) under Symmetrospora coprosmae. Its description in RNAcentral is "eukaryotic LSU rRNA". The stretch from base 176 to 329 matches the Rfam family "5.8S ribosomal RNA". Lineage: Eukaryota; Fungi; Basidiomycota; Cystobasidiomycetes; Symmetrosporaceae. The record is from RNAcentral.
UCCCUAGGUGAACCUGCGGAAGGAUCAUUAAAGAAAAUCAAGGACGCUCUUUUUAGAGGUCCCACCAAAUACAUUUUACCUUUACUCUGUGCACACACUACUCUUUACACCAUUUUUUAACUCUAUAGUUUUAAGAAAGUAAAACAAGUCUCGAAAGAGCAACAUAACAAAACAAAACUUUCGGCAACGGAUCUCUUGGCUCUCGCAUCGAUGAAGAACGCAGCGAAAAGCGAUACGUAAAGUGAAAUGCAGAAAUCAGUGAAACAUCGAAACUUUGAACGCACCUUGCACUCUUUGGUAUUCCCAAGAGUAUGUCUGUUUGAGUGUCAUGAAACUCUCAACCCCCUCAUUUUGUAAAGAAGUGAGUCGUGGGCUUGGAUUAUGGCUGUCUGUCGGCUUCAUUGCCCGCUCAGCUGAAAAACACGAGUAACCCAGUUUGAAAAACUGACGGCUUGACUCGGCGUAAAAAAUAUUAUCGCUGAGGACGUCUAACCUUCAAAACGUUAGUGGUGCUUCUAAAGCAAAACAUUUUAAGAUUUAGACCUCAAAACAGUCAGGAUUACCCCCUGAACUUAAGCAUAUCAAAAAGCGGAGGAAAAG